CGGCACGGGUGAGUAACACGUGUCCAACCUGCCGUCUACUCUUGGACAGCCUUCUGAAAGGAAGAUUAAUACAAGAUGGCAUCAUGAGUUCACAUGUUCACAUGAUUAAAGGUAUUCCGGUAGACGAUGGGGAUGCGUUCCAUUAGAUAGUAGGCGGGGUAACGGCCCACCUAGUCUUCGAUGGAUAGGGGUUCUGAGAGGAAGGUCCCCCACAUUGGAACUGAGACACGGUCCAA
This 236-nucleotide ribosomal RNA is filed under the name uncultured bacterium. Its description in RNAcentral is "partial 16S ribosomal RNA". It matches the Rfam family "Bacterial small subunit ribosomal RNA", at positions 100 to 334 of the family's 1533-position model. The record is from RNAcentral.